UACAGAGGUCCCAAGCGUUGUUCGGAUUCACUGGGCGUAAAGGGUGCGUAGGUGGCGUUGUAAGUUCGGUGUGAAAUCUUCGAGCUUAACUCGAAAAUGGCAUUGAAAACUAUAUCGCUCGAGGGUCGGAGGGGAGACUGGAAUUCUCGGUGUAGCAGUGAAAUGCGUAGAUAUCGAGAGGAACACCAGUGGCGAAGGCGAGUCUCUGGACGACUCCUGACACUGAGGCACGAAAGCUAGGGGAGCAAACAGG
This 253-nucleotide ribosomal RNA is filed under the name uncultured bacterium. RNAcentral describes it as "partial 16S ribosomal RNA". It matches the Rfam family "Bacterial small subunit ribosomal RNA", at positions 524 to 776 of the family's 1533-position model. The record is from RNAcentral.